GACGAACGCUGGCGGCGUGCUUAACACAUGCAAGUCGUACGGUAAGGCCCUUUCGGGGGUACACGAGUGGCGCACGGGUGAGUAACACGUGAGUAACCUGCCCACAACUUUGGGAUAACGCUAGGAAACUGGUGCUAAUACUGGAUAUGUGCUCCUGCUGCAUGGUGGGGGUUGGAAAGCUCCGGCGGUUGUGGAUGGACUCGCGGCCUAUCAGCUUGUUGGUGGGGUAGUGGCCUACCAAGGCGGCGACGGGUAGCCGGCCUGAGAGGGUGACCGGCCACAUUGGGACUGAGAUACGGCCCAGACUCCUACGGGAGGCAGCAGUGGGGAAUAUUGCACAAUGGGCGCAAGCCUGAUGCAGCAACGCCGCGUGCGGGAUGACGGCCUUCGGGUUGUAAACCGCUUUCGCCUGUGACGAAGCGUGAGUGACGGUAAUGGGUAAAGAAGCACCGGCUAACUACGUG
RNAcentral lists this ribosomal RNA (464 nucleotides) under uncultured bacterium. Its description in RNAcentral is "partial 16S ribosomal RNA". It matches the Rfam family "Bacterial small subunit ribosomal RNA", at positions 28 to 507 of the family's 1533-position model. The record is from RNAcentral.